GUGCUUGCUUGGGCAGCACAUAUACUAAAAUUGGAACAAGAAGAUUAGCAUGGCCCCAUGCACAAGGAUGACACGCAAAUUUGUAAAGUGUUCCAUAUUUGU
This is a small nuclear RNA of Chlorocebus sabaeus (green monkey), 102 nucleotides long. The record is from Ensembl. Lineage: Eukaryota; Metazoa; Chordata; Mammalia; Primates; Cercopithecidae.